Molecule: transfer RNA, 88 nt
Filed under: Mariprofundus sp.
Lineage: Bacteria; Pseudomonadati; Pseudomonadota; Candidatius Mariprofundia; Mariprofundales; Mariprofundaceae
Description: tRNA-Ser
Rfam family: tRNA
About the family: Transfer RNA (tRNA) molecules are approximately 80 nucleotides in length.
Source: RNAcentral
GGAAGGGUGGCAGAGCGGCUGAAUGCACCGGUCUUGAAAACCGGCGAAGGUAACACUUCCGUGGGUUCAAAUCCCACCCCUUCCGCCA